GUCGAGUGGCUUAGUGGCUAGAAUUCACUUUUUUCAAGGUGAUUAAGUGGGGUGUCCAGGGUUCGAACCCCAGCCCCUACA
RNAcentral lists this transfer RNA (81 nucleotides) under Medicago truncatula (barrel medic). RNAcentral's name for it is "tRNA-OTHER". The record is from RNAcentral. Lineage: Eukaryota; Viridiplantae; Streptophyta; Magnoliopsida; Fabales; Fabaceae.